GUGAGGAAUAUUGGUCAAUGGGCGAGAGCCUGAACCAGCCAAGUCGCGUGAAGGAAGAAGGAUCUAUGGUUCGUAAACUUCUUUUGCAGGGGAAUAAAGUGCAGGACGUGUCCUGUUUUGUAUGUACCCUGAGAAUAAGGAUCGGCUAACUCCGUGCCAGCAGCCGCGGUAAUACGGAGGAUCCGAGCGUUAUCCGGAUUUAUUGGGUUUAAAGGGUGCGUAGGUGGUUUGAUAAGUCAGCGGUGAAAGUUUGCAGCUUAACUGUAAAAAUGCCGUUGAAACUGUCGGACUUGAGUGUAAAUGAGGUAGGCGGAAUGCGUGGUGUAGCGGUGAAAUGCAUAGAUAUCACGAAGAACUCCGAUUGCGAAGGCAGCUUACUAAGCUACAACUGACACUGAAGCACGAAAGCGUGGGGAUCAAACAGGAUUAGAAACCCCGGUAGUCC
Molecule: ribosomal RNA, 445 nt
Filed under: uncultured bacterium
Lineage: Bacteria
Description: partial 16S ribosomal RNA
Rfam family: Bacterial small subunit ribosomal RNA
Source: RNAcentral